Molecule: long non-coding RNA, 2873 nt
Organism: Callithrix jacchus (white-tufted-ear marmoset)
Lineage: Eukaryota; Metazoa; Chordata; Mammalia; Primates; Cebidae
Source: Ensembl
GCACGAAUCAGAAUCGCAGAGAGAAAACCUGUGAAAGCAUAGGUUGCUGCCCCACCCUACCCCAGAGUUUCAGAUUCAGUAGCUCUGACUUGGGCCUAAUAAUUUGCCUUUUUACCAAAUUCCCAAGUGACAAUAAUGCUGCAAGUAUGGGGAUGGCAUGUUGGGAAUGACUGAUCUAGACCAGUGAGACAAACCCUUAGAACCAUGUGUCCUCCAGCAUUUCCAUAGACAUCAAAAUGCUAGCCUUUCAUCAUGUUGACAAAGAACUUAGAUUUCCAUAAAAGAUAGAACUCUAGGGCCAGGCGCAGUGGCUCACGCCUGUAAUCCCAGCACUUUGGGAGGCCAAGGUGGUGGAUCACCUGAGGUUCAAAGCUCGAGACAGCCUGACCAACAUGGUGAAAACCUGUCUCUUUAAAAAAAAAAAGAAAGAAAGAAAGAAAAAAAAACAAGAUAGAACUCUAGUGAUGAAGUUCCCAAGGACAGGGACCACGUCUUAUAUGCAUUUGGUACAAUAUGAAUAUAGUACUCAAUGAAGCCAAGGACUUCCCAGGUGUUGGUGAACUGCCUGUGACUCCCCCCGCCACCCCGCCCCGACUCCUCGGGGAAAUGAGUUGAUUGCUGGGCUAGAUGUUUUAGCCAUGGUUCUGCCUCUGUUUUAUUUAGAACGUGCAUUUGUCCUUGACCUUGUUAUGUAUGAAAUAUCUGUAUCACGGGUAUACGGAGAGAAAUAAAGGUGAGAGCGCUCACACAAAAAAAAAAAAAAAGAAAGAAAGAAAGAAAAAAAGCUGUCCCCAGCUUCCCAGCACCAGUUUGCCCACACUCUAGACACGCCUUCGCUCCAGUCCAUUCUGGCACCUAGCCUCAGUCUCCACCCUCCUCCUCUCCUCCACAGGCUCCUUCCCCCAGCCCUCCAAGGCAGCACCGCCACACCACAGAUGGGGGAGGGGAGGGAAGACAGCGAAACAGGCAGAAGCUGGGGAAAGGGGAGCCAGUGUUGGCUCCAAGCUUCUUUACAAUAUGAAUAUAGUAAGAGCAAUUCAUACAAUCUAGAUUUAUGGCAGCAGCAACGCGGAGGAAACCAGAGUGAACCGAGAGCUUAGCGACCAGCAUGAACCUCCUCAACAAGCCCUAGAGUGAGAUGACCCUGGAGGAGCUGCAGAGGCCAGAGGAGGAGAAAUUUUUUUUUUUUUUUUUUUUUUUUGAGACGGAGUUUCGCUCUUGUUACCCAGGCUGGAGUGCAAUGGCGUGAUCUCGGCUCACCGCAACCUCCGCCUCCUGGGUUCAGGCAAUUCUCCUGCCUCAGCCUCCCGAGUAGCUGGGAUUACAGGCACGCGCCACCAUGCCCAGCUAAUUUUUUGUAUUUUUAGUAGAGACGGGGUUUCACCAUGUUGACCAGGAUGGUCUCGAUCUCUUGACUUCGUGAUCCACCCGUCUCGGCCUCCCAAAGUGCUGGGAUUACAGGCUUGAGCCACCGCGCCCGGCCAGGAGGAGGAAUUUAACACGGGUCCACUCUCUGUGCUCACUCAGUCCAUCAAAAACAACACCCAAGUGCUCAUCAACUGCUGCAACAAUAAGAAACUCCUGGGCGACGUGAAGGCCUUCGAUAGGCACUGCAACAUGGUGCUGGAGAACGUGAAGGAGAUGUGGACUGAGGUACCCAAGAGCGGCAAGGGCAAGAAGAAGUCCAAGCCAGUCAACAAAGACCGCUACAUCUCCAAGAUGUUCCUGCGUGGGGACUCAGUCAUCGUGGUCCUGCGGAACCCGCUUAUCGCUGGCAAGUAGGAGCCACCUAUCCCUGUCAGUCAACAGAACUCACUCCCCUGUCCUACAGAGCCGCUGAUGCUGAGAAUAAUAAAGCUCUGUGUUUUUUUCUAGUGGUUAAAAAACAAAUAAACAAACAAACAAAGUCUCUCUUUUCUCUCCCCUUUUUUCCAAAUGAAAAGCCCUAGAAAAAAAGCAACUGGGAAUCAGGGGGUUAUGGCUCCCUCACUUUGUAUCCCUUAUGCCUAAAAAAGACCUGUCAAAAUGUAAGUGCUCAACAAAUACUUGAGGAAAGGGAAGGAAAAAAAAGAGGGAAAGAAAAAAGGGAGGAAGGAAAGAACAGAGGGAGGGAGGGAGAAGGGAGAGAAAGAAAGAAGGAGGAAAAAAACAGGGAGGAGACAUAUAUUCUUAGCUCCAGUUGUAGUUUGCCAUUGGCAUGUCUUGAAAAUGAUUGAGCUGAAUAGCUUUCCAAAGGUAGAAUUUUGUUUCAUUUCAGUUGGGCCUUUAUUCUAGAUGAAGUCCUUCCGGCAAUAAAAAUUCAAAUGACUUCUUAAUAAUAAUAAUGAUAAUAAGUUUUCUAAGUCAAAGUGUUAUGAUACUGUUAGCUUAUACAAUGCAGUUGGCAACUAGGUCACCAUGUGUAAGCAUUAUCUAUAACAUUCUCUUUUUUCUAACUAACUGAUAUAUCAGCAAAUCGAUUUCCCCUGUAAAAAAGAUGGCACCUGCCAACCAGACACAAUCACAGUCUAUUUACCCUGCUAAAUAAUUAAGGCCAGAUAUUUGCCCACAGCAAGUCAACUGUCCCUUAACUAAGAUGUUCCAAGAACUGAUGAGGCUUUGCUGCCUGCCCUGAUGAUGAGACCAAGGUCUACAAGCUUUACAGGAGCCUACUGCAUGCUGGUGAUCUCUGGGAGUCGGGGGGAGGGGAGAUUAAAGGAGAAUCAGAUGCAGCCUAUAGCCCUAGUAAUUGGCAGUUUCUCUAGAGAGAAGAGCAGGUAAAUAAGUAACCGUAUUUUAAGAGAGGUGUGUACAAAGGCUAUGGGAUGGAGGAGAUAGUGUCAAAAUAACUUUUUGGGAGACUCAGGAAAGACUUGGGAAAGGGUGACAUUCAU